This 569-nucleotide small RNA is filed under the name Pan troglodytes (chimpanzee). RNAcentral describes it as "processed transcript". The record is from RNAcentral. Lineage: Eukaryota; Metazoa; Chordata; Mammalia; Primates; Hominidae.
GCGCAGCGGUGGUGGCGGCGGCGCGAUCGGCCGGGCUGUAACCGUCGUCUGUCCGGGAGCGGCUGGAGCGGCAGCGGCGGCCGGGCACGGCGCGAGGUGACUGAGGAGAGAGGCGCCUCCUCGCUCCCGCCACCGCCGGACUUCAAUGCCCAGUCCCCAGCUCGCCAGCGUUUUUCGUUGGAAUAUACGUUGCACAUUUAUGGCGAUUCUGAGUGUGAGGGCAGACUUCUGCCAGGCUCAGCACAGCAUUUUCGCUGACAAGUGAGCUUGGAGGUUCUAUGUGCCAUAAUUAACAUUGCCUUGAAGACUCCUGGACACCGAGACUGGCCUCAGAAAUAGUUGGCUUUUUUUUUUUUUUAAUUGCAAGCAUAUUUCUUUUAAUGACUCCAGUAAAAUUAAGCAUCAAGUAAACAAGUGGAAAGUGACCUACACUUUUAACUUGUCUCACUAGUGCCUAAAUGUAGUAAAGGCUGCUUAAGUUUUGUAUGUAGUUGGAUUUUUUGGAGUCCGAAGGUAUCCAUCUGCAGAAAUUGAGGCCCAAAUUGAAUUUGGAUUCAAGUGGAUUCUAA